This 369-nucleotide ribosomal RNA is filed under the name uncultured phototrophic eukaryote. RNAcentral's name for it is "SSU rRNA". It matches the Rfam family "Bacterial small subunit ribosomal RNA", at positions 524 to 896 of the family's 1533-position model. The record is from RNAcentral.
UACGGGGGAUGCAAGCGUUAUCCGGAAUCAUUGGGCGUAAAGCGCCUGUAGGUGGUUUAAUAAGUCUGUUGUUAAAGCCUAGGGCUUAACCCUAGAAAAGCAAUGGAAACUAUUAGACUAGAGUAUGGCAGGGGUAGAGGGAAUUUCUAGUGUAGCGGUGAAAUGCGUAGAUAUUAGAAAGAACACCGGUGGCGAAAGCGCUCUACUGGACCAUUACUGACACUCAGAGGCGAAAGCUAGGGUAGCAAAAGGGAUUAGAUACCCCUGUAGUCCUAGCCGUAAACGAUGGAUACUAGAUGUUGCGCAUAAUGUGCAGUAUCGUAGCUAACGCGUUAAGUAUUCCGCCUGGGGAGUACGCUCGCAAGGGUG